Molecule: long non-coding RNA, 198 nt
Filed under: Oryza sativa Indica Group (long-grained rice)
Lineage: Eukaryota; Viridiplantae; Streptophyta; Magnoliopsida; Poales; Poaceae
Also listed under: 1 other name
Description: lncRNA OsZS97_08G012740
Source: RNAcentral
GGUGCGGCAGGCGUCAGGCGGCAGGACCGCACGAGAGAAAGAGGUGAGGCGUCGUUUACUUCUCCUGUUCAUUGCGAUUGGCGAUUGGUGAGGUCCACAGUGGGAGGCGGUUCAAGAUUGAGAACCGGCCAACUUUUUGGGCCUAGGGGCCCUGAAAAUUGGGGGCCCUGUGCAGGCACGCUGGCCGCAUGCCCCUAG